Molecule: ribosomal RNA, 271 nt
Filed under: Enterococcus faecalis
Lineage: Bacteria; Bacillati; Bacillota; Bacilli; Lactobacillales; Enterococcaceae
Description: partial 16S ribosomal RNA
Rfam family: Bacterial small subunit ribosomal RNA
Source: RNAcentral
CUUUCCCUUCGGGGACAAAGCGACAGGUGGUGCAUGGUUGUCGUCAGCUCGUGUCGUGAGAUGUUGGGUUAAGUCCCGCAACGAGCGCAACCCUUAUUGUUAGUUGCCAUCAUUUAGUUGGGCACUCUAGCGAGACUGCCGGUGACAAACCGGAGGAAGGUGGGGAUGACGUCAAAUCAUCAUGCCCCUUAUGACCUGGGCUACACACGUGCUACAAUGGGAAGUACAACGAGUCGCUAGACCGCGAGGUUAUGCAAAUCUCUUAAAGCUU